UGUGGCAGACUAGUGCAAUAAACUUAAGAAUUAUCUAAAAAGUUAAUCUUUCUUUAGAA
This 59-nucleotide transfer RNA is filed under the name Plateros sp. UPOL A00483. Its description in RNAcentral is "tRNA-Leu". The record is from RNAcentral. Lineage: Eukaryota; Metazoa; Arthropoda; Insecta; Coleoptera; Lycidae.